UACGGAAGGUCCGGGCGUUAUCCGGAUUUAUUGGGUUUAAAGGGAGCGCAGGCGGGCCUUUAAGCGUGACGUGAAAUGUAGCCGCUCAACGGCUGAACUGCGUCGCGAACUGGAGGUCUUGAGUGGGUGCGACGUCAGCGGAAUUCGUGGUGUAGCGGUGAAAUGCUUAGAUAUCACGAAGAACCCCGAUUGCGAAGGCAGCUGGCGAGUCCCUUACUGACGCUAAAGCUCGAAGGUGCGGGUAUCGAAC
RNAcentral lists this ribosomal RNA (250 nucleotides) under uncultured prokaryote. RNAcentral describes it as "partial 16S ribosomal RNA". It matches the Rfam family "Bacterial small subunit ribosomal RNA", at positions 524 to 773 of the family's 1533-position model. The record is from RNAcentral.